RNAcentral lists this ribosomal RNA (467 nucleotides) under uncultured bacterium. RNAcentral describes it as "partial 16S ribosomal RNA". It matches the Rfam family "Bacterial small subunit ribosomal RNA", at positions 28 to 506 of the family's 1533-position model. The record is from RNAcentral.
GACGAACGCUGGCGGCGUGCUUAACACAUGCAAGUCGAACGGAAAGGCCCUGCUUUUGUGGGGUGCUCGAGUGGCGAACGGGUGAGUAACACGUGAGUAACCUGCCCUUGACUUUGGGAUAACUUCAGGAAACUGGGGCUAAUACCGGAUAGGAGCUCCUGCUGCAUGGUGGGGGUUGGAAAGUUUCGGCGGUUGGGGUUGGACUCGCGGCUUAUCAGCUUGUUGGUGGGGUAGUGGCUUACCAAGGCUUUGACGGGUAGCCGGCCUGGGAGGGUGACCGGCAACAUUGGGACUGGGAUACGGCCCGGACUCCUACGGGAGGCAGCGGCGGGGAAGUUUGCACAAUGGGCGGAAGCCGGAUGCAGCAACUCCGCGUGCGGAAUGACGGCCUUCGGGUUGUAAACCGCUUUCGCCUGUGACGAAGCGUGAGUAACGGUAAUGGGUAAAGAAGCACCGGCUAACUACGU